Molecule: long non-coding RNA, 6279 nt
Filed under: Sus scrofa (pig)
Lineage: Eukaryota; Metazoa; Chordata; Mammalia; Artiodactyla; Suidae
Description: lncRNA (ENSSSCG00050065309.1)
Source: RNAcentral
GGACUGUUAAGUGAGCAGGAAAUACAUUUCGAUUGUGUUAAGCCACUGAAAUUUUGUCUCUUUGUUACCACAGCUUAGCCUAACACAAUGUUAGGUACAUAAACAAAUCAAAUUUUUGGUCUGGAAAAAUAUGACCACUAAAGGGAAGGGUAACGGAAACUAACAUUCCUUUGGGGCUCAGUGAGUACCAGAACUAAUACUUGGCAAGUGGCAGGUUCAUUGCACAAUUCCUCCCAUAUAAUUUGUCUUGGAAGCCCACAAUGCCAGGUAUUAUGAUCCCUGUUCAACAGAUGAGGGAUCUGAAACAGAAAGGUGAUGUACAUUGCACAGCAACUAAAGCUGGAUUUUUAAAACUUCCUAUCAACAAAGACAUUUGUAUAAUAAAUGACCUCAAACCUCCCUGCGUUUUCUAUUAAAAAAUACUAAAGACUAUGUCCUAUCUUCAGUGCCUAAUACAAUGCCUGGAAAACCAGUGUUUAGUAGGUUUUCGCUGAUGGAAUUAGACUCUACAAAACCUCCUUAAGCUUGGUAGUCAUCCAUGCACUUCACCAAAUAUUUCAAAAGCUCACCUCUUCCAGGCACAUGGUAGGGUGGCAUUGCCACGUUCCCUCGUGGCUGCACCAGGCCACUGGACAUGUUCUGGUCAGUGAGCUGUGAGAGGGAGAUUAAACAUUUCGUCUCCAGUGAAAGAUCCUUAGGAUUCUCAUUUCGGUCCACAGUAGCAAGGCAGUGUUCUAGAUGGGGACUGCCCGGUCAGCCUGGGUCCUGGAGUGAGGACAAUGACGCAGCAACUUCGCUGACACAGCAGACAGGCAGCAGAAGCAGAGGCAUAUAUUUGCUGUUCUAAAGCACUGAAGAUUUGAAAUUGUUUGUUAUCCCAGUGUAACCUAGCCUGUGCUGACUGAUUUGGCAAAGUAAAUCAUAAUCAGUUAGAUUUCCCAUUUUUAAUAACCAUAGAAAUAUACAUCUUCCAUUUAGAACCUCUAAUGAACAAAGUAGUAUGGUCACAUGAAACUGAUAGCACCCUGCCAAAAUCACAGCAAAGUGAUCAUUUUUUCAUAGCAGUGAUCUCAAUAGGAUAGUCUCAUUCCAUUUAAGAAUAUGAUUUCUGUUUGGCUUUUAUUUUAUUUUUUAAUUAACUAAUUAAUUUUUAUUAAAGCAUAGUUGAUUUACAGUGUUGUGCCAAUUUCUGUCAUACAGAAAAAUGACCCAGUCAUACAUAUAUAUACAUUCCCUUUGUUUUUUGUUUUUGUUUUUGUCUUUUCUAGGGCUUCACAUGUGGUAUAUAGAGGUUCCCAGGCUAGGGGUCUAAUUGGAGCUGUAGCCACUGGCCUACACUACAGCCACAGCAACACCAGAUCCGAGCCGCAUCUGUGACCUACACCACAACUCAUGGCAAUGCCGGAUCCUUAAUCCACUGAGCAAGGCCAGGGAUCGAACCGGCAGCCUCAUGUUUCCUAGUCAGAGUCCUUAACCACUGAGCCAUGACGGGAACUCCCACAUUCCCUUUCUUCUGUUAUCUUCCAUCCUGGUCUAUCCAAAGAGACUGGAUGUAGUUCCCUGUGCUAUACAGCAGGACUUCAUGGCUUAUCCAUUCUAAAUGUAAUAGUUUGCAUCUACAAACCCAAACUUCCAGUCCAUCCCACUCCCUCCCCACUCCCCUUGGCAACCACAAGUCUGUUCUCUAUGUCUGUGAGUCUGUUUCUGUUUUGUAAAUAAGUUCACUUGUAUCAUUUUUUAGAGUCCAUAUAUAAGUGAUAUCAUAUGAUAUUUGUCUUCUUUGUCUUACUUGGUAUGAUAAUCUCUAGAUCUAUCCAUGUUACUGCAAAUGGCAAUAUUUCAUUUUUAUGGCUGAUUAAUAUUCUACUAUAUCUAUUGAUAAGUAGAUGGGUAGAUAGAUAGAUAGAUAGAUAGAUAUAAAACAUCUUAUUUAUCCCAUUCAUUUGUUGAUGGGCAUUCAGGUUUCUUCCAUGUCUUGGCUACUCUAGUGCUGCUAUGAGCAUUGGGGUACACGUAUCUUUUCAAAUUAUAUUUUCCUCUUGUAUGUCUCUAGGAAUGGGAUUGCAGAAUCAUAUGGUAGUUGUUCUAUUUUUAGUUUUUUGAGGAACCUCUGUAUUGUUCUCCAUAGUGGCUGUACCAAUUACAUGUCUACUGACAGUGUAGGAGGAUUCCCUUUUAUCCACACCCUGUCCAGCCUUUAUUACUUGUAGACUUUUUGAUGAUGGCCAUUCUGACUGGUGUGAGGUGAUAGCUCAUUAUGGUUUUGAUUUGCGUUUUACUAAUAAUUAGCAAUGUUGAGCAUCUUUUCAUGUGUCUGUUGGUCAUCUGUAUGUCUUCUUUGGAGAAAUGUCUUUUUAGAUCUUCUGUCUAUUUCUUGACUGGGUUGUUUAUUUUUUUGAUAUUGAGUUGAGUGAGCUGUUUGUAUAUUUUGGAAAUAAAUUCCUAGUCAGUUGCGUUGUUUGCAGAUUUUUUUUUUCUAUUUUUUUUUUUUUUUUUUUUUUUAAGGGCCGCACUCGUGGCAUAUGGAGGUUCUCAGACUAGGGGUUAAAUUGGAGCUGUUGCUGCCGGCCUACACCACAGCCACAGCAACACCAGAUCUGAGCAAUGUCUGCAACCUAUGCCACAUCUCACAGCAACAUUGGAUUCUUAACCUACUGAGUGAGGCCAGGGAUCGAAUCUGCGUCCUCAUGGAUGCUAAUCAGAUUCAUUUGUGCUUAGCCACAAUGGGAACUCCCUGCAAAUAUUUCGAUCAUUUUUUCAGGCUUUGAAAACUCAUGUAUAACUUAGGUGCUUGUUGCUAUUUCAGCUCUUGUUUCUGUUCAGUGUGCUUAGUUCUGUAUCACUGGCCUGAUGAACCCUAGAAACCCUCCCAGUCUGGCCCACUGGAAAGAGCCUGCUCUUUGGAAACAGUCCAUUUUCUCACCUCUCUGCACUUCAGUUUCCUUACUUAUACAGAGGAAUAUAAUAUACUACCUCACAGUGCUGUUGUGAAGAUCAAAUGAACUAUUAUAUCUGCUGCACUUCAAGCAGCUUACAGCGCAUGUGAUGUUGGCUUCCUGAGUGUGUCGGGGGCCUUUCAGCUCUGAAUGUGGUGACCAUGUGUUUGAGUUUGUCCUAAAUGGUCCCAAUUUCUCUUCUUGUUUUUACAUAAUUAUUAAGAGUAUCCUCUUUCACACUCAAAUAUUCCUGCUGAGACAACUGAUUGCAUGAUCCUAUAGUUCUAAGCAUUGUGGGUCUGUGAUCCUGAUUAUAACAAGCACCAGGACCCGUGCUGGUGCCGUCUUCUGUGGACCUUCCUUUGGUCAUUCAGUAACUGUUCUCUCUUGCAGGGUGUUCAAGACAGGGCUGCUUUAGCCUGAAGUUUUCACAUUAAUGUGAUAGUAGACAUCUCAGAGGCAUAGAAGCACAGGGCUGGAGAGGACGCAAAGAUCAUCUAGUCCAACACUUCCAUUUUUCCUGGGCAGGACACAGGAGGGAGGUCACUCAGUCAUUAGCAGCUAUCCAGUUCUCAUGGUCACACUUCUUAUAUGCUAGCCUAGUAGGCGGGUGUCCAAGCCCUACGAUGAAAUUACAGAGCUCAAGUCACACUUCUUGUGUUCUAGCCUAGUAGGUGGGUGACCAAGCCCUACGAUGAAAUUACAGAGCUCAAGGCCCAGCACUGCUCCAUGCUAGAUACUUCCCACUUGUCAUGUGUGGGUCAUAGUAUACCCACCUCCUCGUUGUUGAGAGAGUUCCUGAGUGCUGAGCACAUGUGGGACACAGUGGGUGCUCAGAAAAUAUUGCCCGGCUUCUGUUCUCAUGCUUGAUCUACCUCAUGGAUCCAGCCAUGGGCAUUGUGAUUUUGUUAUAUACUGGGCUGUGCAAAUGCUUGAAUGGUCUUUGUCCUCAUGGAGUAUAUUGUCCAGAAGUCUGACUCUCUCUGCAAAUUCUUUACAAUCAGUUCAUUGUAAGAAGUGGGGCAGGAUGUGGCUGAGGAGAAUCUGGCCAUUCCCUCCCAUAAAAUAUACUUUGCAAGCCUAAAAGUAAAUAAUAAGAUAAUGAUUAUGGGCACAUAUUUGUAAAUCCAGACUGUCUGUGUUCAGAUCCUCACUCUGUCACUUGUUAGCCAUGUGACUUGACUUAGUGCCUUAAUUUCUCCAUGCUCUGGUCUUCCCACCUAUGAAAUGGGGGUGGGUGCCAUAAUACUCACCACACUGCAUGGUUGUGAUGGUUGAUGUGCUAAUAUGAAAUAAGAACUUAGAACAGCACCUCAAGUGUAAAAGCUGUGUCAUGCCCAAUAGUUAAAAAUUAUUACUACAUGUGCUAAAUUACUUUCUCUAAUAUCUUUCUCUUCUUUCUCUACCUAAUGAAACCCCGGUCAUUAUUUCACUCUACCACAAUGCUUUUUUAUUUAUUAAACAGCAGGACAAAGUAAUACAACAAUCAGCAGGGUAAUGUAAUACAAAUAAGGGGAAGUCAUUUACAAAGCAUUACUCCAUUAAGGUUUCUGCCACCGUGUCCCCACGUUCUCUUGCAGUCUUAGAAAAUUCACACUCAUGAACUUUACCUGGAUUUAAUUAUAUGGCAUUAUUUAUUUAUUUUUCUUUCAACUUUUUAUUUUAACAUGAUUUCAGGUUUGCAGAAAAAUGGCAGAAUAGUGCCAAGAAUGCCUGUGUCUUAAUUUUGGGCUGUUACAACAAAGUACCAUCGACUGGGGGCUUAUAAAGAACAUGAAUUUUUUUCCUCACAUCUCUGGAAACUAGGAAGUCUGAGAGCAUAAGGCUGGCAUGGCUGGGUUCUGGUGAGGGCACUUUUCUGGUUGCAGGCUGCCCACUUCUCCCUGCAUUCUCACAGGGCUGAAGGAGAGAGAGAACAAGGAAGCUAUCUCAUGACAUUUCUAAGGGCACUAAUCGUGUUCAUGAGGGCUCUACCCUCCUGAUUCCAUCUGUUAAUCCUAAUUACCUCCCAAAGACCCCACCCACUUCCUACUACCAUCACGUCGGCGGGUAGGAUUUCAAUCUAUGGAUUUUGGAAAGAACGCAAACAUAUAGUCCCUAACAUCCUUUAUACUUUUCCCCCAGAUUCCCCAAAUGUUAAUAUCUUAUCACAUUUGAAAAUUCUCUUUCUCUCACCAAUGUUUUUUGAAACCUUGGAGAAUAUGUUGCAGACAUGAUAUUUCUUUAUCCCUAAAUGUUUCAGUGUGUUUUUACUAAAAACAAGGAUAUUCUCUUCCAUAACCACAGUGUAAUAAACAAAAUCAGAAAAUUAGCAUUGAGACAAUACUAUUACAUUAUUCAAAUUUUACAAAUGUUCUAAUAAUGGCUUUUAUAACAAAAGAAAACCAUGGCUUAUAUACUCCGUUCACUUGUCAUGCCUCUUCUGUAUUAGUUAAUCUGGAGCAAGUUCAUUCAGUUGCUCUGUGUCUUUAAUGGCAUUGACAUCUUUGAAACGUGCUGGUCGGUUAUUUUGUAGAACAUUCCUCAAUUUGGUUAUCUGAUGUUCUCUCAUGAUUAGGUUCAGUUUAUGCAUUUGUGGGCAAAAACAUCACAGAAAGAUGUUGGCCCUUCCGUGCUUUUUGUCAGGAGGCACAUGGUGUCAAAUUGUCCCACUACUGAUGAUGUUAAUUUGACCUCUUGAUUUAAAGUGGUAUGUGCCAGUUUUCUCUACUCUUAAGUUCCUAUUUUCCUCUUUCUAGUUAAGUGAUUUUGGACAGAUGCUUUGAAACUAUGCAAAUAUCCUGUUACUCCUAAAAGUUUCACUCACCAGUUUUAGCACUCAUUCAUAAUUCUUGCUGAAUCAAUUAUUAUUGUUAUAGUUGCCAAAUGGUGAUCUUCUAAAUGCAGUAUUUUGUCUUCUUUCUUUUGUUGGAUUUCUACUGUAAGGAAGAUCUUUCCCUUCUCUACCUUUUGCUUAGAUCCAUACAGACUCCUGUAUGUAUUCUUUUUCUAUUCCAUGAAUUAUAAUAUUAUUUAUUUGUUUUGCGAUUCAUAUUGUAUCAAUGGCUGCCUCUAGUCAUUUUCCAAAUUUGCUUUUAAAAACCAUUUCUUUCAGAAGCCUGGUCCAGUCUACUCCAGCUCAUCGAGUAGCUUACUCCCUUGUGUGCCUCUGGAUUGUGUAUUUUCCUCUCCUUCUACAUUUCUUGUUGGGUACUUGUUGGUUUUAUUUCACAUUAGUCUGUGAACUCUUGAGUGUAAGGAAGAUGUCUGAUUCAUCUCUCUUUAGUGCAGUGAUUGGAGCAAGGGGGAAACACAGUUCAUCCUUGUUGAAAACAUGAAUGAAUGGAAGAAAGAAAAAAAAAAA